Molecule: ribosomal RNA, 279 nt
Filed under: uncultured bacterium
Lineage: Bacteria
Description: partial 16S ribosomal RNA
Rfam family: Bacterial small subunit ribosomal RNA
Source: RNAcentral
UGCCAGCAGCCGCGGUAAUACGGAGGGGGCUAGCGUUGUUCGGAAUUACUGGGCGUAAAGCGCGCGUAGGCGGGCUGUUAAGUCGGGGGUGAAAUCCCGGGGCUCAACCCCGGAACUGCCUCCGAUACUGGCAGCCUAGAGAUCGAGAGAGGCGAGUGGAAUUGCGAGUGUAGAGGUGAAAUUCGUAGAUAUUCGCAGGAACACCAGUGGCGAAGGCGGCUCGCUGGCUCGAUACUGACGCUGAGGCGCGAAAGCGUGGGGAGCAAACAGGAUUAGAUA